This 265-nucleotide ribosomal RNA is filed under the name uncultured bacterium. RNAcentral describes it as "partial 16S ribosomal RNA". It matches the Rfam family "Bacterial small subunit ribosomal RNA", at positions 793 to 1055 of the family's 1533-position model. The record is from RNAcentral.
GUCCUAGCCCUAAACGAUGAAUACUUGGUGUCUGGAGUUUUUAUCCUCCGGGUGCCGUCGCUAACGUUUUAAGUAUUCCGCCUGGGGAGUACGCACGCAAGUGUGAAACUCAAAGGAAUUGACGGGGACCCGCACAAGCGGUGGAGCAUGUGGUUUAAUUCGACGCAACGCGAAGAACCUUACCUGGACUAGAAUGUGAGGGAAGGUCAUCUAAUAGUGACCGUCCGGGCAACCGGACCCGAACAAGGUGCUGCAUGGCUGUCGU